UUCAUAAGAUCAGAUAUAGCUCUUCCAUCUAGAGGUCUUUGGCUUCAUUCAGUUGGGUUUUCAGCCCGUGCAGGAUUAUUCGGUUGGUUACUUUCACUUUAUCAUUUGAUUGCGAAUGGCCGAUCGAAGUGAGUUUGUACGUAAUAUGAAAUUUUGUGCAAAAUUUUUUAAAAUUUUGGUUGUCAAAUUAUCGAUCAUUGUCGGUGAUGAUGGUGUGUGG
This 220-nucleotide long non-coding RNA is filed under the name Elaeis guineensis (African oil palm). Its description in RNAcentral is "long non-coding RNA (EGUI_LNC030491)". The record is from RNAcentral. Lineage: Eukaryota; Viridiplantae; Streptophyta; Magnoliopsida; Arecales; Arecaceae.